This 727-nucleotide ribosomal RNA is filed under the name uncultured bacterium. RNAcentral's name for it is "bacterial SSU rRNA". It matches the Rfam family "Bacterial small subunit ribosomal RNA", at positions 104 to 832 of the family's 1533-position model. The record is from RNAcentral.
GGGUGAGUAACGCGUAUGCAACCUGCCCUUCACAGGGGGAUAACCGGGAGAAAUUCCGACUAAUACCGCAUACGUCCUCCGGGGGCAUCCCCGGAGGAUGAAAGAUUUAUCGGUGAAGGAUGGGCAUGCGUGAUAUUAGGUAGUUGGCGGGGCAACGGCCCACCAAGCCCACGAUAUCUAGGGGUUCUGAGAGGAAGGUCCCCCACAUUGGUACUGAGACACGAACCAAACUCCUACGGGAGGCAGCAGUGAGGAAUAUUGGUCAAUGGACGAGAGUCUGAACCAGCCAAGUCGCGUGAAGGAAGACGGAUCUAUGGUUUGUAAACUUCUUUAGUGCGGGAACAAAGCGGCGUCGUGACGCCGGAUGAGUGUACCGCAAGAAUAAGCAUCGGCUAACUCCGUGCCAGCAGCCGCGGUAAUACGGAGGAUGCGAGCGUUAUCCGGAUUUAUUGGGUUUAAAGGGAGCGCAGGCUGCGAGGCAAGUCAGCGGUCAAAUGUCGGGGCUCAACCCCGGCCUGCCGUUGAAACUGUCCUGCUAGAGUUCGAGUGAGGUAUGCGGAACGCGUUGUGUAGCGGUGAAAUGCAUAGAUAUGACGCAGAACUCCGAUUGCGAAGGCAGCAUACCAACUCGCGACUGACGCUGAGGCUCGAAAGCGUGGGUAUCGAACAGGAUUAGAUACCCUGGUAGUCCACGCAGUAAACGAUGAAUACUAACUGUUCGGAGGGC